UCAUUCUCAAGAUCACAGCCCUCAC
RNAcentral lists this non-coding RNA (25 nucleotides) under Drosophila melanogaster (fruit fly). The record is from RNAcentral. Lineage: Eukaryota; Metazoa; Arthropoda; Insecta; Diptera; Drosophilidae.